AGUGAACGCUGGCGGUAGGCCUAACACAUGCAAGUCGAACGGCAGCACAGUAAGAGCUUGCUCUUACGGGUGGCGAGUGGAGGACGGGUGAGGAAUACAUCGGAAUCUACUUUUUCGUGGGGGAUAACGUAGGGAAACUUACGCUAAUACCGCAUACGACCUACGGGUGAAAGCAGGGGAUCUUCGGACCUUGCGCGAUUGAAUGAGCCGAUGUCGGAUUAGCUAGUUGGCGGGGUAAAGGCCCACCAAGGCGACGAUCCGUAGCUGGUCUGAGAGGAUGAUCAGCCACACGGGAAGUGGGACACGGUCCAGACUCCUACGGGAGGCAACAGUGGGGAAUUUUGGACAAUGGGCGCAGGCCUGAUCCAGCCAUACCGCGUGGGUGAAUAAGGCCUUCGGGUUGUAAAGCCCUUUUGUUGGGAAAGAAAAGCAGCAGGUUAAUACCCCGCUGUUCUGACGGUACCCAAAGAAUAAGCACCGGCUAACUUCGUG
RNAcentral lists this ribosomal RNA (492 nucleotides) under uncultured bacterium. RNAcentral's name for it is "partial 16S ribosomal RNA". It matches the Rfam family "Bacterial small subunit ribosomal RNA", at positions 29 to 507 of the family's 1533-position model. The record is from RNAcentral.